UCUAAACCCCGUAUAUAAACAGAUGUAUAACCAAAAAGAGAUUCACACAACCUGUAGAUCUCUCUCUGCUCGACUGAUAACAGCUUUGACUUUGAGGAAAGAAGAUGAAGUGUGCUAUGAUGUUCCUGGUGUUGACGCUGGUGGUCCUCAUGGGUGAACCUGGGGAGGGUUUCCGAUUUUGGCAUCAUUUCGGUCAUGUAUUGAAUGCUGCCGAAAGAGUCCAUAGAAUGACCGGAGAAGAACUUGAAGCGAUGAAAGCGCAGGAAGUGAUGAAAGCGAUGAACGCGCAGGAAGUGAUGGAACAACGUGCGUUCCAACAAGAGAACGACUUUGCCUGAGUACAUGAUGGUCCAUCUGAAAAAUAAAUGCUUUCUUCUGCUUUUUUCUUCAACAUAAAAAUGUAAUCAACCUAUGUUUUAAAUUGAUCUUCUUGUCAUUUGGAAUAAAUCUACAUUGCAUUACACAAAU
Molecule: long non-coding RNA, 468 nt
Organism: Gymnodraco acuticeps
Lineage: Eukaryota; Metazoa; Chordata; Actinopteri; Perciformes; Bathydraconidae
Exons: 4
Source: RefSeq, a predicted model, not a curated record